This 254-nucleotide ribosomal RNA is filed under the name uncultured bacterium. RNAcentral's name for it is "partial 16S ribosomal RNA". It matches the Rfam family "Bacterial small subunit ribosomal RNA", at positions 524 to 776 of the family's 1533-position model. The record is from RNAcentral.
UACGGGGGGAGCAAGCGUUGUUCGGAUUUACUGGGCGUAAAGGGCGCGUAGGCGGCCAGCACAAGUCAGUUGUGAAAUCUCCGAGCUUAACUCGGAAAGGUCAACUGAUACUGUGCGGCUAGAGUGCGGAAGGGGCAACUGGAAUUCCUGGUGUAGCGGUGGAAUGCGCAGAUAUCAGGAGGAACACCGGUGGCGAAGGCGGGUCUCUGGGCAGUAACUGACGCUGAGGAGCGAAAGCGUGGGGAGCGAACAGG